GGGGUGAGUAAUGGCCUAGGAAAUUGCCCUGAUGUGGGGGAUAACCAUUGGAAACGAUGGCUAAUACCGCAUGAUGCCUACGGGCCAAAGAGGGGGACCUUCGGGCCUCUCGCGUCAGGAUAUGCCUAGGUGGGAUUAGCUAGUUGGUGAGGUAAGGGCUCACCAAGGCGACGAUCCCUAGCUGGUCUGAGAGGAUGAUCAGCCACACUGGAACUGAGACACGGUCCAG
RNAcentral lists this ribosomal RNA (229 nucleotides) under uncultured bacterium. RNAcentral's name for it is "partial 16S ribosomal RNA". It matches the Rfam family "Bacterial small subunit ribosomal RNA", at positions 104 to 334 of the family's 1533-position model. The record is from RNAcentral.